GGCCCCUUAGCUCAGCGGUUAGAGCGAGCGCCUCAUAAGCGCCAGGUCGCCGGUUCAAACCCGGCAGGGGCCACCA
Molecule: transfer RNA, 76 nt
Filed under: Enterobacter cloacae
Lineage: Bacteria; Pseudomonadati; Pseudomonadota; Gammaproteobacteria; Enterobacterales; Enterobacteriaceae
Also listed under: 3 other names
Description: tRNA-Ile
Rfam family: tRNA
About the family: Transfer RNA (tRNA) molecules are approximately 80 nucleotides in length. Their secondary structure includes four short double-helical elements and three loops (D, anti-codon, and T loops). Further hydrogen bonds mediate the characteristic L-shaped molecular structure. tRNAs have two regions of fundamental functional importance: the anti-codon, which is responsible for specific mRNA codon recognition, and the 3' end, to which the tRNAs corresponding amino acid is attached (by aminoacyl-tRNA synthetases). tRNAs cope with the degeneracy of the genetic code in two manners: having more than one tRNA (with a specific anti-codon) for a particular amino acid; and 'wobble' base-pairing, i.e. permitting non-standard base-pairing at the 3rd anti-codon position.
Source: RNAcentral